AGCUCCAAUAGCGUAUAUUAAAGUUGUUGCAGUUAAAAAGCUCGUAGUUGAAACUCAGGUUGAGCCAACUUAUCAAAGUUAGCAAAACCAACAUUAUGAGAAAGAAUCAGCUUAUUGAAUUAAACUGUUUCAGAAUCAUAUCAUUUACUGUGAACAAAUUAGGGUGUUUAAAGCAGACCAAAGUUUGAAUACAUUAGCAUGGAAUAAUGAGAUAUGACUUUAGUUGUAUAUCGUUGGUGACAGUUAAAGUAAUGAUUGACAGGAACUGUUGUGGGUAUUCGUAUGAUCAUGUCAGAGGUGAAAUUCUUGGAUUCUGAUCAGACGAACUACUGCGAAAGCAUUUACCAAGGAUGUUUUCA
RNAcentral lists this ribosomal RNA (359 nucleotides) under uncultured eukaryote. RNAcentral describes it as "SSU rRNA". It matches the Rfam family "Eukaryotic small subunit ribosomal RNA", at positions 587 to 972 of the family's 1831-position model. The record is from RNAcentral.